ACAACCUGGUUGAUCCUGCCAGUAGUCAUAUGCUUGUCUCAAAGAUUAAGCCAUGCAUGUCUCAGUACAAGCCAAAUUAAGGUGAAACCGCGAAAGGCUCAUUAAAUCAGUUAUGGUUCCUUAGAUCGUACCCACAAUUACUUGGAUAACUGUGGUAAUUCUAGAGCUAAUACAUGCAAAUAGAGCUCCGACCGGAGACGGAAGGAGUGCUUUUAUUAGAUCAAAACCAAUCGGUGGCGGGUUCGCUCGUCAUCGUACAACUUGGUGACUCUGAAUAACUUUACGCUGAUCGCACGGUCUUCGCACCGGCGACGCGUCUUUCAAAUGUCUGCCUUAUCAACUGUCGAUGGUAGGUUCUGCGCCUACCAUGGUUGUAACGGGUAACGGGGAAUCAGGGUUCGAUUCCGGAGAGGGAGCCUGAGAAACGGCUACCACAUCCAAGGAAGGCAGCAGGCGCGCAAAUUACCCACUCCCGGCACGGGGAGGUAGUUACSAAAAAUAACGAUACGGGACUCAUCCGAGGCCCCGUAAUCGGAAUGAGUACACUCUAAACCCUUUAACGAGGAUCAAUUGGAGGGCAAGUCUGGUGCCAGCAGCCGCGGUAAUUCCAGCUCCAAUAGCGUAUAUU
RNAcentral lists this ribosomal RNA (628 nucleotides) under Acallocrates denticollis. Its description in RNAcentral is "SSU rRNA". The record is from RNAcentral. Lineage: Eukaryota; Metazoa; Arthropoda; Insecta; Coleoptera; Curculionidae.